UACGAAGGGUGCAAGCGUUACUCGGAAUUACUGGGCGUAAAGCGUGCGUAGGUGGUUUGUUAAGUCUGCUGUGAAAGCCCCGGGCUCAACCUGGGAAUGGCAGUGGAUACUGGCAAGCUAGAGUGCGGUAGAGGGGUGUGGAAUUCCCGGUGUAGCGGUGAAAUGCGUAGAGAUCGGGAGGAACACCAGUGGCGAAGGCGGCUACCUGGACCAGCACUGACACUGAGGCACGAAAGCGUGGGGAGCAAACAGG
Molecule: ribosomal RNA, 253 nt
Filed under: uncultured bacterium
Lineage: Bacteria
Description: partial 16S ribosomal RNA
Rfam family: Bacterial small subunit ribosomal RNA
Source: RNAcentral